UGGUAGAUGCACCCUGAUUUCAACUCCCUGACCUGCUGGCGUGGGUCGGGGAUUUUUUUU
RNAcentral lists this small RNA (60 nucleotides) under Prochlorothrix hollandica PCC 9006 = CALU 1027. RNAcentral describes it as "Prochlorothrix hollandica PCC 9006 Nitrogen stress-induced RNA 1". It matches the Rfam family "Nitrogen stress-induced RNA 1". The record is from Rfam by way of RNAcentral. Lineage: Bacteria; Bacillati; Cyanobacteriota; Cyanophyceae; Prochlorotrichales; Prochlorotrichaceae.